GACGAACGCUGGCGGCGUGCUUAACACAUGCAAGUCGAACGGAAAGGCCCUGCUUUUGUGGGGUGCUCGAGUGGCGAACGGGUGAGUAACACGUGAGUAACCUGCCCUUGACUUUGGGAUAACUUCAGGAAACUGGGGCUAAUACCGGAUAGGAGCUCCUGCUGCAUGGUGGGGGUUGGAAAGUUUCGGCGGUUGGGGAUGGACUCGCGGCUUAUCAGCUUGUUGGUGGGGUAGUGGCUUACCAAGGCUUUGACGGGUAGCCGGCCUGAGAGGGUGACCGGCCACAUUGGGACUGAGAUACGGCCCAGACUCCUACGGGAGGCAGCAGUGGGGAAUAUUGCACAAUGGGCGGAAGCCUGAUGCAGCAACGCCGCGUGCGGGAUGACGGCCUUCGGGUUGUAAACCGCUUUCGCCUGUGACGAAGCGUGAGUGACGGUAAUGGGUAAAGAAGCACCGGCUAACUACGUGCCAGCAGCCGCGGUGAUACGUAGGGUGCGAGCGUUGUCCGGAUUUAUUGGGCGUAAAGGGCUCGUAGGUGGUUGAUCGCGUCGGAAGUGUAAUCUUGGGGCUUAACCCUGAGCGUGCUUUCGAUACGGGUUGACUUGAGGAAGGUAGGGGAGAAUGGAAUUCCUGGUGGAGCGGUGGAAUGCGCAGAUAUCAGGAGGAACACCAGUGGCGAAGGCGGUUCUCUGGGCCUUUCCUGACGCUGAGGAGCGAAAGCGUGGGGAGCGAACAGGCUUAGAUACCCUGGUAGUCCACGCUGUAAACGGUGGGUACUAGGUGUGGGGUCCAUUCCACGGGUUCCGUGCCGUAGCUAACGCUUUAAGUACCCCGCCUGGGGAGUACGGCCGCAAGGCUAAAACUCAAAGGAAUUGACGGGGCCCCGCACAAGCGGCGGAGCAUGCGGAUUAAUUCGAUGCAACGCGUAGAACCUUACCUGGGUUUGACAUGGAUCGGGAGUGCUCAGAGAUGGGUGUGCCUCUUUUGGGGUCGGUUCACAGGUGGUGCAUGCCUGUCGUCAGCUCGUGUCGUGAGAUGUUGGGUUAAGUCCCGCAACGAGCGCAACCCUUGUUCACUGUUGCCAGCACGUUAUGGUGGGGACUCAGUGGAGACCGCCGGGGUCAACUCGGAGGAAGGCGGGGAUGACGUCAAGUCCCCAUGCCCCUUAUGUCCAGGGCUUCACGCAUGCUACAAUGGCUGGUACAGAGAGUGGCGAGCCUGUGAGGGUGAGCGAAUCUCGGAAAGCCGGUCUCAGUUCGGAUUGGGGUCUGCAACUCGACCUCAUGAAGUCGGAGUCGCUAGUAAUCGCAGAUCAGCAACGCUGCGGUGAAUACGUUCCCGGG
Molecule: ribosomal RNA, 1343 nt
Filed under: uncultured bacterium
Lineage: Bacteria
Description: 16S ribosomal RNA
Rfam family: Bacterial small subunit ribosomal RNA
Source: RNAcentral